AGCGCUUAGAAGUGAGAAUGCCGGUGUGAGUAGCGAAAGACGGGUGAGAAUCCCGUCCACCGAUUGACUAAGGUUUCCAGAGGAAGGCUCGUCCGCUCUGGGUUAGUCGGGUCCUAAGCUGAGGCCGACAGGCGUAGGCGAUGGAUAACAGGUUGAUAUUCCUGUACCACCUAUAAUCGUUUUAAUCGAUGGGGGGACGCAGUAGGAUAGGCGAAGCGUGCGAUUGGAUUGCACGUCUAAGCAGUAAGGCUGAGUAUUAGGCAAAUCCGGUACUCGUUAAGGCUGAGCUGUGAUGGGGAGAAGACAUUGUGUCUUCGAGUCGUUGAUUUCACACUGCCGAGAAAAGCCUCUAGAUAGAAAAUAGGUGCCCGUACCGCAAACCGACACAGGUAGUCAAGAUGAGAAUUCUAAGGUGAGCGAGCGAACUCUCGUUAAGGAACUCGGCAAAAUGACCCCGUAACUUCGGGAGAAGGGGUGCUCUUUAGGGUUAACGCCC
Molecule: ribosomal RNA, 496 nt
Filed under: Staphylococcus aureus
Lineage: Bacteria; Bacillati; Bacillota; Bacilli; Caryophanales; Staphylococcaceae
Description: partial 23S ribosomal RNA
Rfam family: Bacterial large subunit ribosomal RNA
Source: RNAcentral